CAGGAAAUUUCGUCUUGUAUGUAUAAUCUACUAGAGUUAUGAAGAAGCGUGCGUCGCGUCAGUAAAUGUGCAAAAAUAGACACAAUCAAGGUACUCCAGAAUAGACAAAACAGCAGUAAUUCUGUUGAGGACUUAGGUACAGCUGCUUAACGUAUAUUUCGACGGAAAAAUCUAUUCAUUACAAUUAUGAAUAGAUCUGUAAGGGGUUUAAUUCAUUUUCGUGCCGCUGGAGCGCGUAUGAUGAAAAAUUGCAAAAUUCCAAUCAAAAUCUCGGAUAUGUAGUGAUGUUUUACGACAUAGAGAGCUUUCACUGGCAUUUGCUCAUUCGAUCUGGCAACACUUACUACAAAAUUCUACGCGUAGUACUACGAUGCGUACGAGACGAAUUCUAAGCCUCUCAUUGGUCCGUUCUGUUUUGAAGGUUCAUUCAUAAAAUUGCAUAGCACUUGCGCGUGCGCAGCACCUUGACCGCACGCGACGCGCGAAGCCACAUGGUUCUGGUUCAUGAGUAAUUUGUUAACUUAGCAAAUAGCGAUUCUUCCUCGAUUACCUUGACGUAGAUUAAUGUAAUGAUUUAAAAUAACGUGUCAAACUUAAAGCAGGAGAAACGUAUUCAACAAGAGCACCAAGAUUGGAAUAAUCUGAAUUUAAAUGUUAGCUAAACAUCUGAAGAACUGAAGGUGUCUAGUGUCGAGUUGUUAACGCUUAAUUUCCGAUAGUGUGAAAUUCAGACUUGCCAAAGAUGUUGAUCAUCGAUUAAACUUUUCAGAAUCCUGCAAUGGGCAGUGAUCAGACCUGUUACUCUGACUGUAGGAAGUUGGUAGAAAAUUUAGCGAAUGACAUUAGCAAUGGAUUGGAUGGAAUGGAAACUGAAGUAUUGCCAAAGAUAUCGCUGUUGAAGAAAAGCAUUGGUGUCUUGAUAGACCAAUCAGUAUCUGUUAGCCGGGCACAUAUUGACAAAGAUUUUCUCACUGAGUUUGCUGAUGUUGAUAUCAAAACACGCGUCCAAACCAAAAUCUUCAAUGCCCUUGAGGAAGAAAUUUCUAAAUUGAAGCUUUUAGUGAAUGAUCAGGAUAUGAAACUUAUGAAGUGCAGAUUAGCAAUGGUCCCACUGGAAGCAGUCACCUUAAGUCUAAAAGAAUCUCAUGUAAAUUUGCUCAACGCCCUGGAGAUGACAAAAGACUGUUCACAGAUUUUUACCUACCUAUGUAUAAAGCUGCAAAUUGCAACCGCGUGCAUUAAAUAUGAAGAUAUUUCCUCUUUAAAUAAGUUGACCAAUUUUCCAAAUGACAUUAGAAAUGCGAAAAAAACUAUUCUUGAAAAGAAGAAAGCUAUUGCAGAUCUCUUGCUGCUUCCUAUGAAUGAGGAAGAAAUCAAAUUAGUCACUGUUGGAAACUGAAAUGUAGCACACCUAACGGCACAACAGAGUGGAUGAACACUUUAAUUUAAUGUACUUUUUCAAGUAUCUUUCUUUCUCUUUAUUUUCGUUAGAAGAGAUGGAAGAAUCUAAAACAUAAGGGCUGAGGUGGCCUCUGUUUUGGCUAGUAUGAAACCUUGCUACUAACUUAUGCAGUUGAUUUAUGCUGUCAGUUUCUCCAUGGUGAACAUACACAAAAAUCCUUUGAUCUCUUAUCGUCAUCGAUGAAUUCUGAACUUGGAAUUUGUCAACUCUCAAUGAACAUUCCCACUUUGUAACAUUUUCGGGUUUCAAAAUUGAAACUUGCACUCAUCUAGUGAAGGAAAAGGAACUGAAUUGUUUUUCAAUGGCUAUUGGUUUCAUUUUACGGUGGGGUACACCAGCUCCUGUAGUCAUUAUUGCCUUAAUUAAAUGAGGUGAUAUAUCUGUAAGUAAAAUUAGGACCAUUGGGCGCUGCUUUGCCUCAAAUUGCAUGUGCCGCUUUCUACGAAUGAGACUGGAACCUCUAAAGGUUCCUUGACUUAUACAUUUUUUGAGUUCAAUUGCAAAAGAGAUCCAUUUUUUUUCAUAUUUGGUUUUUCAUUUUAGCUCGGUGUUGCUGGGCUUGUCUUUUUUCUGCCACCUACUUUUUCUUAUUUUUUUUCUAUUUUACACAUAAAACUAUCACAAAAUGAGAUCUAAAAGAUUCUAUCUAUAGACCCUAUAUCUUUGUGCGAUAUUGAUGGGUGUAAUGAGACAUCAGGUAGGAUAUAUCUCUGAACUCCCUCAGUACAUUCAUCCUUAUCUGAUUACUUGGUGAGUAGCCAUUUGAUCAUUUUUACUCUCCAUUUUUUUUAAUUGUUUUCAAAGUUGUAUUUAAAUGAGAUUUUUUACAUUCAAUUUAAUGUAAGAAAGUAAGAGAGAAUUUUGUUUUAUUUGCAAUAAUUUUUAUAUAUUGUCCUCAUGCAUUUUAAUUUAAAUACGCAGAACCCAUAAUAUUAUUUAUUGCAUCCUGGCUCUACUUGUGGCCAAUUAUUACCUGUGAUACUUUGAAGAACGUUACUUUUGAAAAAUAUGAAACGAAUUAAUAAAUAAUGCUCUUUAACUUAAUGAUUGUAUUUCUGUGUAUUAUUUAACUUUCCAGACACGAAUUUGAAAGGAAAAUGGAGUAAGGCUAUGCA
RNAcentral lists this long non-coding RNA (2577 nucleotides) under Bemisia tabaci. RNAcentral describes it as "lncRNA ENSSSA1NGG000917". The record is from RNAcentral. Lineage: Eukaryota; Metazoa; Arthropoda; Insecta; Hemiptera; Aleyrodidae.